GCCUACUCAGCUCAGUCGGUAGAGCAUUAGACUUUUAAUCUGAGGAUCGGGGUUCGAGUCCCACAAAAGGCG
Molecule: transfer RNA, 72 nt
Filed under: Toxocara canis (dog roundworm)
Lineage: Eukaryota; Metazoa; Nematoda; Chromadorea; Rhabditida; Toxocaridae
Rfam family: tRNA
About the family: Transfer RNA (tRNA) molecules are approximately 80 nucleotides in length. Their secondary structure includes four short double-helical elements and three loops (D, anti-codon, and T loops).
Source: Rfam by way of RNAcentral